This 29-nucleotide non-coding RNA is filed under the name Mus musculus (house mouse). The record is from RNAcentral. Lineage: Eukaryota; Metazoa; Chordata; Mammalia; Rodentia; Muridae.
UAGCAGUGUGUGUUUCUGUGGCAUUCUGC